Molecule: transfer RNA, 76 nt
Filed under: Silvanigrella paludirubra
Lineage: Bacteria; Pseudomonadati; Bdellovibrionota; Oligoflexia; Silvanigrellales; Silvanigrellaceae
Also listed under: 1 other name
Description: Silvanigrella sp. SP-Ram-0.45-NSY-1 tRNA-His
Rfam family: tRNA
About the family: Transfer RNA (tRNA) molecules are approximately 80 nucleotides in length. Their secondary structure includes four short double-helical elements and three loops (D, anti-codon, and T loops).
Source: RNAcentral
GUGACUGUAGUCAAGCGGUUAAGACAAUGGAUUGUGAUUCCAUCAUGCGGGGGUUCGAAUCCCCUCAGUCACCCCA